This 246-nucleotide long non-coding RNA is filed under the name Salvia miltiorrhiza (redroot sage). RNAcentral's name for it is "long non-coding RNA (SMIL_LNC013439)". The record is from RNAcentral. Lineage: Eukaryota; Viridiplantae; Streptophyta; Magnoliopsida; Lamiales; Lamiaceae.
GGGGUUCGAUGCGGUGGAAGAGGAAGGCGACUGAUCUGGUGAUUGUGGGAGGCGGCGUGAGGUCUGGAACGACGCGAGAAGGAGGAAGGCGGAUGUGGUAUUCCUCGGCGCUGCUUCGCCGGAGGAAGGCAGCGGUGGUCCUUUGGCAGCGGUCUACCGGCCGACUUGGAGAAGGGGGAGGGAAAAUAAUGAAUUUUUUUAUUUUUUUGUUUAUUGUUUUUCCAAGUACGUGCCACAUCAACUCGG